CACCCAACCCAAACCUUAGACAUCUUCUCUUCUCUCCUUCUCUUAUAUGCCGUCGCCGCCCUUCUCCAUGGUGGAACCACCGCCCGCCGCCGUCCACCAGAGUCCAAACCACCCCAAAAGUUUAUCAUAUCUUCCUCUCAACCUCCUCUCCAUGAAUCAAAGCCACAAAUCCUUUAAUUCUCCUUCAAACUCCAUGAAUUUUAGAUCUAGAAAAACCCUAGCCGCCACCUUUAUGCCCAAAUUCGUGAAGUUCCGUCCACAACCAUCCUACAACACAUAUAUGAAUGGAUAGAGCUCUACCAUGCCUACCCUCUUGCCUUGGUCUCCACCCGAAACUCCAGCCGAAUUCCGGCGGCCACCUCCCCCGGCUGCACUACCGCAGCCGCUGCUCACUCUUCUUUUUUCUUAUUUUUUUUUCCUUCUUUCCCUUUUGCCUAGAUAUGACUCGAGUGAUAUUUUCACGCUAGCACAAUACCAAGAUCCAAACUGGUUCGCCGAAUCUUUGGUUUAGGUGUCUGGUAACGUGAAAAGUUCGCUCGUAGUCGAUUUGUCGUUGUCCGAUAUACUUCGCAUUUCGUCGCUACUCGAAUUAGCAUUAAAUCCUUUUAUAUGGUAAGAUCCUAAUUCCUCUUUUCUUUUUCUAAUUUUUUGUUUUGUGUUAAGUUUGGAUUUAGUUAAUUUUGGUUCUGAUUUUUGUUUGUUUGUUAUUGUUUAGUAUAAUAUUACUUCUGAUAUUAUGCUUAGUAAACAUUUAGUCGGUUUUAAUUUAUUUGUUGAUUUUGGUUAUCUAAUUUCCGCAUUCGUUUGGAUUUAAUUCCGGAUGUUUGAGUGCUGAAUUAUCUGCUUUUGACAUUGUUGAAUCAGUAAUUGAUAAUAGAGUACAUGUUUGGUUGUAAUGUACUGUUUGUGUACUGUUUGGAAUACAAAACUCCAAAAAUCUGCCUCUAGUUGGUAGAAUACUAUCUCUUGGAUAGAUUUUUUGCCAAAGAGCUGUCCUUUGAAUAGUAUUGGACAGUUUUUUGUUAAAAAUCUGUCUUUUGAACAGAUUUUCAUAAUGAAAUCAUGUUCCUCCUCUCCUAUAAAGAGAGGGUCCUUCUUUCACUUUAAGGAGGAGUUUUUCAACACACAUCUCUACACACUAAAAGGGGCAUCAGAAAAAAGAGAGAAAAAGAUAAAAAUUUCAGCAACUUUUUUUCCCAGAAAAGAGUAAUAAAAACGGUAAGAAGUCACGUGCUCUUAGUUUGAAGCAUUAGUUUUUGGGAUUUUGUUUUGCUAUUUUCUUCUGGGAUUCCUUGGUUUAGAGUUACUGGGGCUGCUAAUUUACUAUUGUGACUGCUGGUUUGGAGCUAUCUGAAACUUGUAAUUUGCUUCUUGUUUCAUUGCAUUAGUGGAAACAAAAGAAAUAGAGUUUCUACUCUAAAAGUUAGUUUGUGUUCUCAUUCUCUACUUUCCAUAUUCUUAUUGUAAAUUAACGUUUUAUGAAAGAACUUGUCUUAGUAGAGGAAUUCGUUUCUAUAUUUUUAGUUUCAAUGUUAUAAAUUCUAUUGUUGAAUAUUUAAGGUAUUUCCAUGAUAAAACAACAUGUUGAUUUACUUUUCUUCCUUUGGUAUUAAGCAAGGAUUAAAUAUUUUUGGUGCAGAUUAGUUUUUCUUUGUAGUUACAUGACAAAUGACAUCUAUGGUGUAGUUGUAAGAAUGUAUUUAUUUUAAUCUCAACCUGUUGUUGAGCUAAAUUAUAUCCC
This 1741-nucleotide long non-coding RNA is filed under the name Nicotiana tabacum (common tobacco). RNAcentral describes it as "long non-coding RNA (NTAB_LNC010388)". The record is from RNAcentral. Lineage: Eukaryota; Viridiplantae; Streptophyta; Magnoliopsida; Solanales; Solanaceae.